This is a non-coding RNA of Struthio camelus australis, 136 nucleotides long. Lineage: Eukaryota; Metazoa; Chordata; Aves; Struthioniformes; Struthionidae. The record is from Rfam.
AGUAUUUAUAUGUCCGGAGAAAGUUCUAUAGUAAAUUCUGGAGAACUUCGGUAUUUAAAUGUCAACAUCGAUUUGUUUAUUUAUUGCUUAGCUUAUCGUAACUGACUCAAUAACAAAUCUAAUCAUGUUGUGCACA